RNAcentral lists this long non-coding RNA (554 nucleotides) under Trifolium pratense (red clover). Its description in RNAcentral is "long non-coding RNA (TPRA_LNC002565)". Lineage: Eukaryota; Viridiplantae; Streptophyta; Magnoliopsida; Fabales; Fabaceae. The record is from RNAcentral.
UUAACCCUUUUUUUAGUGACUAAAGGUGGAAACUAUUUGACAAAAAAAUAAAAUUACUAAUCGACAUUUUAGGGUUGGGAUUCAAAUUCAAACAAAUAAAUAUUGUAGGGGAUAAUGCAAAAAAAAUCGUUCGCUGUGGUAAUUAGCAGCUGAAAGAGAAGACUAGAGAAAAGAAACAAACAAUCGUUAGUUAUCGAUGGAGUUUGGCACUUCUCUAUAGCAAUGACAACUCAAAACCCGCUAUUCAAUUUCCGUUUCUGAAAACUACAAGCAACUCCUCUUAACCAGUAAGCUACAUUCAUUUCACUCACGAAAUGACAAUACUUGAACCCAACAACAUUUGCAAUACUGAGAACUAUACAUUUCCUAUUUUCUUCAACCCUAGUUUCGAUUUUGGAACUGGAGGAUUAUUUCUAGAACCUUCAAUUCCCGAUUCCUUUAUUCGUUUCAUUUCGUUGAGAAUUUCAGCAACUGCUUCUUCUGAAUCGAAUCUUCACCGCCGGCAACGGCGAAGGCUUCCGUGUUUUUUGUCGGUUAGUUUGCCUAGCAANNNN